GAUGAACGCUGGCGGCGUGCCUAAUACAUGCAAGUCGAGCGAACGGACGAGAAGCUUGCUUCUCUGAUGUUAGCGGCGGACGGGUGAGUAACACGUGGAUAACCUACCUAUAAGACUGGGAUCACUUCGGGAAACCGUAGCUAAUACCGGAUAAUAUUUUGAACCGCAUGGUUCAAAAGUGAAAGACGGUCUUGCUGUCACUUAUAGAUGGAUCCGCGCUGCAUUAGCUAGUUGGUAAGGUAACGGCUUACCAAGGCAACGAUGCAUAGCCGACGUGAGAGGGUGGUCGGCCACACGGGAACUGAGACACGGUCCAGACUCCUACGGGAGGCAGCAGUAGGGAAUCUUCCGCAGUGGGCGAAAGCCUGACGGAGCAACGCCGCGUGAGUGAUGAAGGUCUUCGGAUCGUAAAACUCUGUUAUUGGGGAAGAACAUAUGUGUAAGUAACUGUGCACAUCUUGACGGUACCUAAUCAGAAAGCCUCGGCUAACUACGUG
Molecule: ribosomal RNA, 497 nt
Filed under: uncultured bacterium
Lineage: Bacteria
Description: partial 16S ribosomal RNA
Rfam family: Bacterial small subunit ribosomal RNA
Source: RNAcentral